This 578-nucleotide long non-coding RNA is filed under the name Cercocebus atys (sooty mangabey). RNAcentral's name for it is "lncRNA (ENSCATG00000045810.1)". The record is from RNAcentral. Lineage: Eukaryota; Metazoa; Chordata; Mammalia; Primates; Cercopithecidae.
UGAAAUCUCUGUCUCCAAAGAUUUCCAGGGAGAUAAUGUAAAGCAUUGGAUCUUCCGUGGCUUUCAGACUGCCACUGGCCUGGAGGCUGUGUCUUCCACUAGCUGUCCAAAUCUUUUUCUCUAGGAUUCUGAGUCUGGCACAGGUCGGAUAAAUCUCUCCAUGUGUGAAGACUUUCGUUGCUUCAAGCAGAGUUUGUGGACAUUUCUGCAAACCACCUCCAUCCCCAUCUAGAACUGCUUUGAUGCCUCGACUUUUUCUAACAAGAAGCAUAGCAUAGCCUCUCCCACUUGGAGGCCGGAGGUGCUCCAUUUUCUCAGUUGGUGUCUUCCUCCAGGACUAUACAUUCUUAAAACAACUAAGUACUAGCUCCUUUGCAAACUGGACCAAAAUCUUCAAAGGAAAGAGAAAGGAAGAUUGUCUGCUGAUCAAAGCAGUCACCGGGAAAAGUGGGGUAUCUCCAAUCUCUUCCAUCUCAAGGCCAACUCAUCCCAACUUCUGGUUGUACUUCCUCUGCGGAAAGACAAAGGAAAAAUCUCUGAACCAUCUCUGCUCACCUUAGGGAUGGUGGUCGUCAAAG